CAGAAUGUUCUGUCACAGGUUGGACCUGUGAACAUUUUGGGGGAUAGCCUCUCUAACUUUGUACAUCUUGAGUUUCUUCUGAACUAAUUCUGCUUUGUUCAUAGAGCACAGCACCUUCUCUGAUGAGGGCACACCAUGCUGGGCAGGCCUGUGCCAAUUUCUCCCAUAUUCUACAAUCAAUUCUAAAGUUCUUAAGAGAGACCUUGAGAGUGUCCUUGUAUCACUUUUUCUAACCACCUUGUGAGCACUUGUCCUAGCUUUCCAACCUCAUUAUCAAUGUGUAUGUCCCUGGAAAGUAUUUUGCCAAGAAGCUGCAUGAAGGCUGGAUUAUUUCACUGCCACUGGCCUGCACCUGAAAGUCACUCCCAAGGUCACCCUCCUUUCUCUUAACAUUGCUAUUGGAUACAAUUCCUGGACUUACACUCCUGAACUCUCAGAAUUUCUCUUUCCUGAAGCUUAUAAUGUCAAAGCCUCUAGAUUAAAUUUCUUCAUGUUUAAAAAAAUAAAAUAAGGAUCAAUGGCCAUAUUCAAGGGGUCACUUCUUGGCCUAAAAAAGGGAGAAGGCCCAAGUCCCUCCCUCCACCAUCUUAUAGCAUUGUCUCUUAACAGACACUGUCAACAAAGGAGUCAAACUGAGAGAGAGAAGCUGAAGAGGAUGGUCAAUCAAUGAAUGCCCUUUGAAAUCAGUUUCAGUUUCAGAUCCACAACCACAGCCACUCAGAGACUGAUGGUCAUCAUCAUAGAUGGAACUAGUUAGAGACCACUUGAGGCAGCUUGGUUGUACAGAACAGAGAGUACCAGACCUAGAGUCAGGAAGACUCAUCUUCAUGAGUUCAAAUCUGGCUUCAGACACUUAGUAGCUGUGUGAUCUUGGACAAGCCACUUUAUUUUGUUUGCCCUAGUUUCCUCAACUGCAAAAUGAGCUGGAGAAGGAAAUUGGAAACUACUGCAGGAUCUUUGCCAAAAAAUAACCAAAUGGUGUCAUGAAGAGUUGGACACAACUGAAAAAUGACCGAACAACAACAAUAAAAUAGAUGCAUUCUCUAGUAUCUCUUCAAUGCACUUCCAUUAGAUAUCAUCAUGACUUUCCUGGAAUCAGAUUUUCAUCCACUUCUUCAUGGGGAGAUGCUAUCAGAGAUAAAAUGCAUGUGCCGAUCCCUUUUACUCUCACAUAACUCUACUUCCAAAGAAUUUUCUGUGCUGGAGAACUGAUUUAUUUUCAUACAUAUUUGACCUGAAGUCCAAGCUGAAUUGGUAAUGAUCUCUUUGGCAGAAUAUGGAGAUGUAAGGAAUGUAGGAUUAUUUCAAGCUUCACAGCAUGGGACAUUAAGUACAAAUAGAAACGAGCUAAGAAGAAGGAGUGAUUAAGCCAAACAAGAACUGACCUAAACUUUGGACUCAAUGGAAGAACUGACUCAAACUAUUUUGGUGCUUUGAAAAUAAAUCUAUUACCUUCUUUUUCCAUUUCUUCUGGCAAAAAAGUCAAAUGGUUGUCAUUAUCAGUGUCUGUUGAUUUUUAUUGAGAUUCCAAAAUGUGUUAGAUCCUUUCCUGAAGCAGUUGGAGACAUUGCUUUAAGGAACUUUACAUUCUCCACUUUUUUAUUAUUUUAACUAUUGUUUUUGGCAUUGACAACCUAGAUGGAUCUUUAUAAUUUGCAAAGUGAUUGUAUGCCUAUUCUAUGUACUGUAGUACUUUGUAGUAUAUGGUACUUUGGAAAGGGUCAGAAAAAGGAUAAAGAACUUUGGAUUUGGAGUCAGGAAACCAAAAUUCAAGUCUCCUGUCUACCAUUAUGUGUGAUUGUGAACAAAUCAUUUAGCCUCUCCUAACUCCGGUUCCUGUGUCUCUAAAAUGGGGAUAAUAUCCACUCAACUACCUCAUGGGUAGCUAAGAUCAGAUGACUACCUGCGUGAGCAUGUAUUGGAAAUAAUAAAUCCUCACUGUGAAAUAUUA
Antechinus flavipes (yellow-footed antechinus) is the source of this 1951-nucleotide long non-coding RNA. RefSeq lists it as uncharacterized. The transcript is spliced from 3 exons. The record is from RefSeq and is a predicted model, not a curated record. NCBI's taxonomy places the organism in Eukaryota, Metazoa, Chordata, Mammalia, Dasyuromorphia, Dasyuridae.